This 130-nucleotide non-coding RNA is filed under the name Vitis vinifera (wine grape). Lineage: Eukaryota; Viridiplantae; Streptophyta; Magnoliopsida; Vitales; Vitaceae. The record is from Rfam by way of RNAcentral.
UCACUAGUCACACUAUGGGAGUUAGCCAUGCCCGAAGUCAUUACCUUAACCACAAGGGGGGAUGCUAAAGGCAGGGAUAAUGACUAGAUUGAGGUCAUAACAAUGUAGCCAUACUGAAAGGUAAGAGCUG